AGUGAACGCUGGCGGUAGGCCUAACACAUGCAAGCCGAACGGCAGCACAGUAAGAGCUUGCUCUUACGGGUGGCGAGUGGCGGACGGGUGAGGAAUGCAUCGGAAUCUACUUUUUCGUGGGGGAUAACGUAGGGAAACUUACGCUAAUACCGCAUACGACCUACGGGUGAAAGCAGGGGAUCUUCGGACCUUGCGCGAUUGAAUGAGCCGAUGUCGGAUUAGCUAGUUGGCGGGGUAAAGGCCCACCAAGGCGACGAUCCGUAGCUGGUCUGAGAGGAUGAUCAGCCACACUGGAACUGAGACACGGUCCAGACUCCUACGGGAGGCAGCAGUGGGGAAUAUUGGACAAAGGGCGCAAGCCUGAUCCAGCCAUACCGCGUGGGUGAAGAAGGCCUUCGGGUUGUAAAGCCCUUUUGUUGGGAAAGAAAAGCAGCAGGUUAAUACCCCGCUGUUCUGACGGUACCCAAAGAACAAGCACCGGCUAACUUCGUG
Molecule: ribosomal RNA, 492 nt
Filed under: uncultured bacterium
Lineage: Bacteria
Description: partial 16S ribosomal RNA
Rfam family: Bacterial small subunit ribosomal RNA
Source: RNAcentral